GUGCAGCAGGCGAGAAACCUCCGCAAUGCGGGCAACCGCGACGGGGGACCCCAGUGCCGUGGCAUCGCCACGGCUUUUCCGGAGUGUAAAAAGCUCCGGGAAUAAGGGCUGGGCAAGGCCGGUGGCAGCCGCCGCGGUAAUACCGGCGGCCCGAGUGGUGGCCGCUAUUAUUGGGCCUAAAGCGUCCGUAGCCGGGCCUGUAAGUCCCUGGCGAAAUCCCACGGCUCAACCGUGGGGCUUGCUGGGGAUACUGCAGGCCUUGGGACCGGGAGAGGCCCGGGGGUACCCCUGGGGUAGGGGUGAAAAUCCUAUAAUCCCAGGGGGACCGCCAGUGGCGAAGGCGCCCGGCUGGAACGGGUCCGACGGUGAGGGACGAAGGCCAGGGGAGCGAACCGGAUUAGAUACCCCCGUAGU
Molecule: ribosomal RNA, 414 nt
Filed under: uncultured microorganism
Description: bacterial SSU rRNA
Rfam family: Archaeal small subunit ribosomal RNA
Source: RNAcentral